This is a long non-coding RNA of Amphiprion ocellaris (clown anemonefish), 645 nucleotides long. RefSeq lists it as uncharacterized. The record is from RefSeq and is a predicted model, not a curated record. The transcript is spliced from 2 exons. NCBI's taxonomy places the organism in Eukaryota, Metazoa, Chordata, Actinopteri, Pomacentridae.
AAGUAGCAGUUCCUCCUUUAGGUCAGAGAUUGCAGCAUCUGAGGGCCUCUUCAAAAGAAGAUGUAGUUGAUGAAGGCGUUCUGGAGCAGGACCAGAAAGACCACGACCAAGCAGCCUUGAGAUCUUAGGCAGCGUCUCCCUCAGGUCCCUCUCUAUCUCCCUACACAUCCACCAAGCACUGGAACACAUCUCCAAAGUUCUGCUGGGCCAGCUCAGCUUCCCCUCAGAAGAAGUGCCGCCACCUGCCAGAUGAAGGAGCCUUUUGAGAGGCAGCUGGCAUCGUGAUUGGACUGUACUUUGGUCUGUUCCAAUCCAGCUUCAGCUCCAGAGACGGCAGGCGGGACGAGUCAACGGAGGCCGAGUGGACGAAGGCAUGCAGCUGAGUACAAUCCAGAAAACAACAGAGGAGGAGUGCAUCAGCCCAGGGCCAGAACAAACAGAGUAGCAUUGUAUGUCUCUUAGAAAACAUCAUAGUAUAGCCUUUGGUAUGAAAAAACGCCAUCAUAUACAUCGUAUAUUGUACAAAUAAGUCAAAGGAAAGAGACAUACAUUGUAGAAUUGUAGUAAUUGUGGGCUGACUGAUUUACUGAUUAUCAGUAUUUUAUUUUUUACUGAUUUACGGUAAUAAAUACAUUUAAAAAUGGC